UGUCAGGGGCUGCUGGAUAAGUCACCAGGGGAGCUAACAGCACCUCCUUAGAGGCUUGGCAAGGUCUAAUUGGACGCAGCUCAGGAGGCUUUCCAUCCCUCGCACAUGGCCUGGGGCCCUCUUGGAGCAAGGACAGCACCUUCCAGCCAAGGCCGGAAGUCCUACACUACACCCUCAUGGUUGACACUGGGCAGAAGCAGACUGUAUAAAACCGGGUGGGAGAAAAAGAUUGGGAACAAACAUUCUAAGUGUGAUUUGCAAAGGGUUCGCGGAAAAUACAACUCGAGACAUGAAAGGACACUUGAGUUUUGUCUGUGAUAAUUUGUACUUUUUGAUCAAUUUGUUUAUAUGGUUAUCUUCCCAUAACAUUGUAUGUUGGUGCUACAAAUGGCACAAAAAUGUCAUUUGGUCUGUACCGUCUCUGCAGUGUCGCAACAAUCCCUACGUGAAAGGAACCAGUGGCUGUGCCCAGAGCUGAAGGGAGGCACACGAGCCACGUUCGAGCUGCCGCCCUCUCCUCUCAGGGUGGUCAGAAACACACGCACAUUUGUCCAGAAUUUUUGGAGUGACCCAGGCCAGUGGUUACACAAUGAAGCAGGCUCCCGGACGAGAUUUUGUGCCCGUGCUAAGACAUGACACAUGGCACAUGGCAAGAGGAUGGGCAAACAAAUUCAGAAGAGAUGGACAGAAAGGAAACGCUCCUUUGAAUCUGCUGUAACUCAGAAGCUCCUUGAAGAGAGACGUUGGGCAGGACUUUUCUUGGUGCUGAUGGUGCCGAUGGUCAAAGUGUCUUGCUUGCCACCCUGUUUCAAAGGCUCUCCAGAGGGAUCAGGGUGAGGAAGAGUGACGGGAACGUGAGCUCACUGCCUGUGUGACCUCAGGCCCCCUGCCACUGCUUGGGCUGGCAUGUGUACCCAUGGAGGUUUUGUGACAUGGGUGUGACAAGGGGAAGCACACUGCUCCUGGUGCUUCUUCUGCCCCACUCUCUCAGUCUUGUCUGUGAUCUCACUCUUCAGGUCCUGCCUACAGCUGCGCCUGCAUUCCAGGCUCUCCCUGCUGCUCACCCUUGCCAUCACUGCCGCCCUCGCCAGCGAUCUUCGUUUCUCACCUUCAUUUCUCCAGCUGCAACAGCGCUGGAUAUGGAUCAUCUCUGGCAAGACUCAGGUACUCAACCAUGGUUGCAGAAAAUGGACGAAGACAUCCUGCUCUGA
This 1211-nucleotide long non-coding RNA is filed under the name Chinchilla lanigera (long-tailed chinchilla). RNAcentral's name for it is "lncRNA (ENSCLAG00000028473.1)". The record is from RNAcentral. Lineage: Eukaryota; Metazoa; Chordata; Mammalia; Rodentia; Chinchillidae.